UCUCUGAUGCUUUACUUCUGUUGGCUGCUGGCAAGACUGAUUACUGUAUGAUUCGACUUGAAAAGGGCAGACUUAAGCUUAACAUAAAUCUUGGUGCUGGCGAGAGUGAGCUCUUCUCUCCCAGGGGCAGUCUCAAUGACAGCCAAUGGCAUCAUGUCAGCAUCGUACGCCGUGAGGCGAAUCUCACUAUGAAGGUGGAUGACAGCACAGUGAAAA
Manduca sexta (tobacco hornworm) is the source of this 216-nucleotide long non-coding RNA. RefSeq lists it as uncharacterized. NCBI's taxonomy places the organism in Eukaryota, Metazoa, Arthropoda, Insecta, Lepidoptera, Sphingidae. The transcript is spliced from 3 exons. The record is from RefSeq and is a predicted model, not a curated record.